RNAcentral lists this long non-coding RNA (38343 nucleotides) under Podarcis lilfordi (Lilford's wall lizard). The record is from RNAcentral. Lineage: Eukaryota; Metazoa; Chordata; Lepidosauria; Squamata; Lacertidae.
CAAGGAGAAGGGGAUGACAGAGGACGAGAUGGUUGGACAGUGUUCUCAAAGCUACCAGCGUGAGUUUGACCAAACUGUGGGAGGCACUGGAAGACAGGAGUGCCUGGUGUGCUCUGGUCCAUGGGGUCACGAAGAGUCAGACACGACUAAAUGACUAAACAACAACAACAAAGUUGGAUUUGGCCAGAAGUCUGGUAAGAACAUUACAAGAGCUCUGAUGAAUCAGACCAAAGAUCCAUUGAGUACCCUGUUCUUUGUCAAGCAAAGUUCGUGGGAAGCCCUCCUGAGAGCAGCAGCACUCUUCCUAAUUGUGAUUCUCAGCAAGUGGGAUUCUGAAAGUCGAGGCAAAUACUUAAGAAGAUUAGAAGAGCUUGCUGGAUCAAGACAAUUGCCCAUCUAGUCUAGCUUCUUCUUCUCACAGUGGCCAGCCAGAUGCUUAUGGGAAGCUAGAAAGCAGCACCUGAGUACAACAGCACGUUUUCCCUGAUUGCAACUGGCAUUCAAAGGCACUCUGUCUCCAAUAGUGGAGGUAGAACAUAGAUAGCCAUUGUGGCUAGCAGCCACUGAUAGCAUAAUCCUUCAUGCAAUCCCUUUUAUGCCACAAUGGCAGACAUGGGAUCCAGUGCUCACAAGCACAAGCUAGGUAUUGGAUUUCAGUUGUUUGUUGGCUAACAGAGAAGUGGGACUAGUACUCUUUGUUCACUGUUGUUUCAGGUGUGUGCUAUGUAAACAAGUUAAACCUGUUUCUAUUUCGGUUUUUAAAGUCCUUAAUCUUAACAUUGUUAGAGGAGUUUGGAAAAAGAGCACACUAAAUAUCAAGAGUAUUUCUUCUUCUUCUUCUUUGGGGAUUGCUCAUAGCUGAGUAAGAUUGCCUUCCAUAAACACGGUUUUAACAGUGAGUUCGUAAGUGACUGGGGAGGCCAAUUCUGGAUCCACACGUCCUUCCACAGUGGAGGCAUAGGUUUCCGGGUGGAAGUGAGGGUUUGCCAAGCUUGCCUUCCUCUUAGCAUGUUUCUCCCUUUCAUCCUGAGUUCAAGUGUCUUCAAAGCCCAUGACACCUUUGGUAAAGGCUGUUCUCCAAUUGGAGCGCUCACAGGCCAGUGUUUCCCAAUUGUCGGUGUUUAUACUACAUUUUUUCAAGAUUUGCCUUGAGAGAGUCUUUUGUUGACCACCAGCAUUACACAUUCCAUUUUCAAGUUUGAAGUAGAGAAGUUGCUUUGGAAGACAAUAAUCAGACAUCCUCACAACAUGACCAGUCCAACGAAGUUGAUGUUGAAGAAUCAUUGCUUCGACACCGGUGAUCAUUGCAUCAAGAGUAUUACUGACUACAAGAGACAACUAAUCUUGAACAGCAUGGAAUUAUUUUACUGUACAUGUUGACUCCUUAUACCAAGGUUGGGGAGCCUGUGGCCCUCCUUAUGAUGCUGGGCAAUCUGACUCAGGCUGCUAGAAGUUGGAGUACAACAAUAUCAAAUAAAUAAAUAAUAGAAUAAAUAAUACAUAUCUGGUGAUGUUCAAGUUAUUACAUACCCAGAUGUGCGUAUUUGCCUGUGUACACAUGCAUGCAUGCACACACACAAAACUUUAGCUAAAAGUUGAGGGGCAUUAUAUGGAGAGCCAUGUAUUUGGAUAGGGCAGAAGCAGCUAGGAGUUUCCCCACUUUGGGGGGGGGGGGCUGAUUCAGCCUCCCAAGUGAAUUUUUCCAAACCCCACUGAUUUUGGCAGCAGUCAUGAUAAAAAUAAAACACUAAUGUGGACAUAGUGCUAAUGUGGAAUGAGUGGAGCCAGUGCUCUGCUGGGAAUGCAUAUUGCUCCUGCUCAGGUUAUGAGAUCUAGUGUUUAAUGCAUGAAGAGGGAGAGACAAACCAACUUAGCUGAUCUACAUGAACCUGCUGAGGACACAAGGUUGUAUGCUUGUGUGUGUGCAUGAGAGAGAGAGGGGGGGGGAGAGAGAGAGAUGGCCACAUCCACUGCUCGCAUGCAGUGUGGAUUUACACCUACAGUUUGGCAUAAACAUCAGGUGUUGGAGAACAAUUUACAAAUAACCAAUGACAAAGAAGGUUUUCAUUUUUUCAAAAUCCAUAUAAAGUAACACUAGCCAGUUCCUUUCUGACUCAUGGUUUUGGAUCACGCAUUAUUGUCAUUGGUUAUUUUUUCUAAAUUGCUUCCCAAUAUCUGAUAUUUUAUGCUAAAGCCAAGUGUCAUAUCUCUCCAGCCUUGUAUAACCAACAUGCUUAACUCUAAUUACUGCACGAACAAGUUACAACUAUAGAUUAAGUUGUUCUGUCACCCUCCCUCAUCUUGGGAGGAAGAGUUCCCAAACUCUUUGUUUUCUCUCUUCCACCAUGUGAACCUUACCAGUAAGGAGGUCCAAGCUGGAUGCUUCAAACUUAGACCAUGUGGCUUAAGCAAGCCAUCUUUGGGUUUCUAUAAUUUUAAAACAUUUUACCAUUUUGUAACCUAAGUUAUACUGCCAGUCUUUUCUUGCUGCUGUAUGGAAAAGCACAUGAAUCUGACUUUAGAAGAGUUUGUAAGUAACUCAUUUUUAAUUUACUUGUCUCUUUCUAUGCCAGGGAAGGUGGGGAACUUUGGAAGCAACUAUGAAGGGUAUCUUUUAAAAGUCUAGCCACCUAUAUUUCCAUGCUUUUCUUUGCUGCAUAUUUUGUGAUUUUAAAUCUCUGCUGUGGCUCUCUCACCAAAGAGUACUUGCCCCAAACCUGGAUCUAGGCAUCCAGGAAAUUUUCCUUUUAUUAUACCUUACUAGCUGCAUUUUGUUCUUUAACCAAAUACCUCAAUUGUAUCUACAUUUGCAAACAGGUCUUUCUAACUGAGUCCAAAGAUUCUUUAUGGAACAUUUCCAUUGUGAUAAAUAUGUGAAUUUGGUGAUUAUACCUGGCUUGAUCUCCAUAAAUGGAAGAUGGGCAGACAAUACAGACACAGUUGUUUAUCUCUUCUCCAGGGAUGGCUUGUUCUCUGAUACCCUCUUCUGGCUAUCCAGAAAUGUGACCUUGCUGCCUGCAGGGAGAAUGUUGUCUCUUUUGGCAAUUGGGUUGAACAGAAGGCUUGCACCACAAUACAUGUGUUGUCUCUAAGACUGUCUGCACAUUACCAUUUACUUUUGCUCCUGUGCACUCCCACUACUGGUGUUUGAAGCUGUGUACACAUUAGCCGCAGUCCUGUAGUUUCUUGAGAGAAACUGCUGUUAGAUAGGCUUUCCAUCAAACUAGCUUCCAUCCAAUUUGAAAUUGUAAGCUACAUUAAAUUCUCAGUUAAGCUGAGGUGUGUACAUCUGGGAUAGCCACUGUGCAUGCACAAAUGACAGCUUCAUGUAUAAGAAUAUCAGGAUCGUUGUGUUGCAGACACAGGAACACCUAAGAGGUACAGGCACCUAAGAGGUACAUGCAUCGCAUGAACACAUCCCUGCCCCUCUCUGUUGUGUACAGCAAGACACAAAUAUGACUUGAAAUGCAACAGGGGUGGGGAAUGACCUCGCUGUGUUUUAAGACAGUAAUGUGUAGAUGGCCUGAGACGCCACAAGACUCUCUUUCUAGAAGAUCGGUCACAAAAGUUGCAUUGUGUCUAUAUUAUGUAUGGUCCCCGAAGAGAAGAAAGUCAGAAAUGGAAAGGGACCAUUUCACCAGGCAGGAAAAACAAUUCUGUGGGCCUUUCUCUGUCUUGGAACCAUCAGGCAAUGGGAAAACUAUGUAGCGCAUGAGCAAAUUCCACUCCUUGACAUGAAUAAUUUAGGCUUGCACAGGAAGGAAAGAAAUGUUUAGGCCCUUGCAAUGUAGGUCAAAGCUGACACAAGUAGACUGCCGACUUCAGAAGGGAUGUCAAUUUGCAAUUUUGCAGUGCAAUGCGUUCGUUAUUAUUAUUAUACAUAUGAGACUUUUAUCCCUCUCUCUUCCUCCUUUGUCUUCUUCUUCCCAAAGAGGUUCUCAAGGCAGGUGAACACAGAUUUGCACAAUCAAAAUCGCACUCACGUCUAGUCACAGGAACGUGAUAGCGACAUGUUGCCUGGAUUAACCAGGAAGGAUUUCUUGCCCUCAAUCUAGGAUGCCCUUUGUGUCCGUCUCCUGCUAGGCAGCAAUCCCGCUGAGGACCUCUGAGGACACAGUGGGACUGUGCACCCAGAAAUUGCUCAGUCCCAUGAUGUCAGCCCCCACCUUGCUGUCAUCUGGCAGUUUGGGUGAAUGAUGUAAUAACAACAACAGUAAAGUUUUUAUCUAGCUCUUUUCAGCCACUCUCUCCUCAAGAAGAGCAGGGCCACACCUCACCAGCCUUCUGAUAGACCUGUUCCCCCACCCCCCAACCCUUACACACUGGAGGUGGGGGUCUGAAGAGGCAGCUGGUCUUCGGGAUUUGAAACCAUGCAUUUAGAUCCCCAAUUGUACUCUACUUGGGUAUAGUAGGCUCAUCUCUGUAGACCUUUUCUCCAGAGCAUCAUUAGUGGGGGGCAUUUCACCUGGAAAUGCAGUGGAGCUGAAGGCCUAGCAAGCCUUUUCUCUGUUGCUACAGAUGGCUGUCACUGCCUAAGGGAAUGCCUGCAAAUAACAUCUACCUGUCUAUGGAUGAACGGCAUUUGGUUGCACAUAGUUAGCACACUGAGCCAUCAUUCCAGAUUGACCAAAAAAGAAAGCCCAGGGCAUGGCUCAAUCCAGAUAAGAGCAGACGUGAUUGAUUUGUUGAUUGAAUCAUAGAAUUGUGGAGUUGUAGUCAUCUAGUCCAACCAGUGGUGGAGCAAGCUGAGCUGGCACCUGGGGCAUGCCCUGUACCCAGGGGUGGGGCUAGCCACCAGCGAGGGCAGGGCCAGCUGCCUGUGGGGUCAGGCGAGCUGGGGCAGGAUGCUCUGUGGGGCCUCUGAGGAGUCUGCCUGCCUCCUCCCACUCAGCCGCUCUACAGCUGAGGGGGAGGCAGUGGGCAGACUGUUUAGGGCAGCGCACAGUCUGCGGGUGUCCAAGCCACUGCAUCAUUCCCAGGAGAGACGCGUGGAUCAGGUGUGCUGCAGGUCCCGUGGUGAAUGCCACUCGGCAUUUUGUCACCCCCCUCAGUGGUGACACCUGAGGUGGACCACCACACACCCCUUUCCUCCAUCCCUGAGUCCAAUCUCCUGUAAUGGGAAUUACGACUAAAUUAUCCCUGACAGAUGACCACCCAGCCUCCGCUUAAUAACUCGAAUGAUCAGGCCGAAAGAGAAAAAUUAAUCCCUGAUCCCAUCCCUUAAUGUUCUCCUAUAGAAUGGACCAUGGUCACUGAGACAUUUUGGCAACUGAGGCAAACAGCAAAAUGGCGUCCCUCACCAGGGAAGAAGGAGGGAGUGAAGCUCUGCAUUGGACAGGAAUAAAUAUCUACACACAAUGUGUUCCUUGGAGGCUGGAUCUGCUGCCCCUGUAGAUCCUGCUGCCUGAGAAAGUUGCCUCAUCUUGCCUCAAAGGCCGGGGGGCCUUGGAACAGAAAGCUAUCACUUAUUGCUGGGUUGGGAAGUGGAACCACACACGAACUGUGCGAGUGAUGUUGGAAGUCAAAAUCAAAAUCUGCCCUUUGACUUGAAAUCAAGAGUUCCCUCACAGAGAUUCCUUGGGGUAGGACUAAAGACCUCAGUGUUCUCUGUACAUCCCCUGUCUGUACAAAACAGUGAGCCACAAAGCUAUAAGUAGAGAGUUGCAUCCAAAAAAGAUGCCCCAUUAGCACAAGGAUUUGUACCUGCACAGCAGAACAUAUUCUCCCUCUCCUCUCCCCAUAUGUCCCACAGAUCUUCUCCAGAGGGUUGGGGGGGAGGGGAAACAGGGCCUGCACAGUGAGAGUAGAGCGAGCGAGCAAGUCAUGUUGUGUAGGUAGAAUGCCUUGCACUAAUGGGAUGACUUUGUCAGAUACAGUUUAUGCUUUUCAUUUUUCAUACAAGAUGAUCAUCCCUCGCUCUCUUAAUUCUCUAUCUCUCCAAACAUAUCACUAAGUAUCCGCUUGAGGACAGGAUAACAGAGAACCUGCAGUGAACACCAGCACCUUCCAGAGCCAAGUUUCAGAAGGUAGUGCAUAUUGCAAUGACACCAGUCAAAGCCAGAAGCCUUAUCAUUGUGGAAGUCUCAACCCUGGAAGCAAAGAACCCGCAUUGUCAGGAAGUCUCUAAUUUCACUAAGCAGAGAUACAGGCUUUUAUUUUGCUCAUUAGGGAAUGUUAAAUGUUCUGAAUAAGCAAAAUCAUAAUUAUCAUCAUUUAAUACUAAAUUAAAUGGGAAGCAAGCCUUUAAAACUGCAGCCAAUUUCCUGCCAGGGAGCAUUCUAGGAUUUAAAUGGUGUGGAUGUGACCACAGAGUUUGGCUUGUAAGCAUCUUCUUAUGCCUGGCUUGCACAUAACAUAAAACCACUAUUUACAACAAACUAUGGUUUAACAUGCAUGAGUACCUUGAAUCUCUGCUGCUCUUGACUGUACCAUGUGAGGGAGGAAACAAGCUUGUUGAUAUACAUAUGUAAGCCUAAGUGUUUGGUUUGUUUCUUUCCAAACCACAAGCAGAAUCCAGGGUGUGUUCUUGGUUAACGCUCAUAGUUUGCUUGGAAGAAGGAAGCCACAAGUUUGGGUUCAGUCAUCAUAACAAACCAGACUCUGGCUUGAUUCCCCCCUACAGUCAGAAAUGGGCGAGGAGCAAAGUGGCUGUGCAGGCUAAACCAUAGUUCAUUUUAAACUAGGGUAGGGAACCUGUGGCCCUCCAGAUGUUGCCGGACUACAACUCCCAUCAUCCCUGGCAACUGAUCAUGCUGGCUGGGGGUUGGAUGGGAAUUGGAGUCCAACAACACCUGGAGGUUAGCCACCCCUGUUUGAAACCAUAGUUUAAUGCUGCAUGCAAACCAGGCCUUAGGGUGCUGGCUGUCUUGCUAGAGAUCUGUCGUGGGGGCAAGUAGGCUUUCUCAGUGUUUUAAACUGUGCCUCCAUCUAUGUUCAACCUGAGCAUCUGUGAAUAAAUGCAAAUACGAUAGAACCCCAAUAAGCUUUUUAGUGACCUUCCAAGGAGAACCAAAUACGGGGUAAAUGCUGCACCCCUGAAGCUUCUCAUUGCUCAGAGAAGCGGGGUGACCAUAACAUAUUUGUUUAUUUAAAAAAAUACGCCAUCUUUAAAAAAGGAAAACAGCAUGUGUUGGGGCCAGUGUCGGAUUUACAUAUAAGCUAAACAAGCUAUAGCUUAGGGCCCCACUCUCUUGGGGCCCCCAAAAAAUUUUUAAAGGAAAAAACCUGGAUGUACAUUUCCAAAAUAUAAGAUAAGAAAACCUACAUACAGCAACAGUGAUUUGUGUUGUGUAGGCUCUUACAGUGUAAGUAAUGGGCCCCGCCUGCUCACCUGAUCCCUAAAAUAUCACUAGUUUGCUCAUUUCUAUAUAUAGGGUGCUUACAUUCUACAUGGACUGAUUGCAUGACAACAUGUGCAAAAGGCUUUAGAUACCUAUUAGGUCCAUAAAUUACUAUAUAGCAUAUAUUCAACACAAAAAAGAGUGACAAUUUGUUGAUGACAAAGGACAGCUGGACAUAUAAAGGGCCCCAUUACCUUCAGUAGCUUCUUGGGACUUGCAGUACUAUGUUCCUUCCCUGCCACCUCCAUUUGAUGUGCAGAAUCCUGUCAUUGUGAUGGCCUUCUGGGAAGCACGUAAACACACUGUGGAAGGAAAUCCACCCCAUUUUUGGCUCAUGAACUGUUCUUUCCUUCUAGGCAGCAUGCUGUAUGUUAGCACUCCAGUCUUCUCCUUACUGCUGCUGCUUCAGUGACCAGUGAUUUGAACUGACAAAUGGUUUGAAGCCAAAUGCUGAGAUGAAAAUAAAAUAAAGGUUGCCCUCUCUUUCUUCUCUAGACUGUGCAAUGACUUGCUAAAGGCAGCAUAAGUACAAAUCAAAAAUGUGUAAGUCUGUUGUCAAGCUAGAAGCCAACACUUCCUAUUUCUCUUUAAUGAGCUACUGUACAUGGGUAUUGCAACAAAACGUUGUGGCGUAGAGCAUAGCUGUUCAGGAUGCCAGGCAUUCCAUUCCAUUGCAGCCUGUUUUCUGGUUUUGCCUGUCUCUCCCGCCUCCCCAAUAAUCCAUUUGCUGGCACAAAUAUAAAACAUAUUACACAAAUAGAACACCCCCCCAGCUUUUACAUGCAAUAAAUGUACUGCAGCCCUUCAUCUGCUCAAACUCACCUAUUCAUAUUUCAGUACCAAGGACAGAGCAGAAAGUUUAUCAUACAGCAUAAUUCACUCAUGGUGUCAUGAAUAAUAACUCUAAGUCCCCUGUUGAAUUGAAAGUCUCUCCCUCUCUCUCUCCGUUUGACAACUCAUACUACUUCAAGGGAAAGUUUAACUUCAUGAAUUAUAUUCAUUCAUACAUCUAUAUCUAUAUCCAUUCAAACUAGGAUAGCUCAGUUGGUAGAGCAUGAUUUCAGGGUUGUGGGUUCAAGCCCCACGUUGGGCAAAAGAUUCCUCCAUUGCAGGGGUUUGGACUAGAUGACCCUCAAGGUAUCUUCAAAUUCUACAAUUAUUUGAUUCUAUUUAGCUGUUGAUCUAUCUAUCUAUUUAUUUAUUUAUAAAAAUUCUUAUAUGUAUCAAUUUCAUUAAGAGAAAAUCAAAGCAGUGUAAAGCAACACACACACACACACACACACACACACACACACACACACAUCCUACAUAAAAAUCACCAGAGUCACAAAACUCUGGCUAACUGUGGGAAAGUGGGUGUUUUUUAACUGUCUGCAAAAGCCAGGCAGCAUAGAGAAUUAUCCAGCAAGUGUCUAAAAGGGAUCAAGCCAAAGCCCUACCUAGUUCAUAAUACUCUUCCCACAGCAGGUAGACAGAUGCCAUUUAUUCAUUUGUUUUCUGAUUGCAUUCAUACGCUGACCUUCUGCCAAGGCGCUCCAGGCAGUUUAUAAUUUUAAAUUACCCAGACAAACAAAUGGCAUAAAAUAAAAAAGUUGUCCUGAGGGGGAAGGGGGCUGGAUCAGGCCUUCAUGUGGGCUUUGCCUCUCUCCUGCAUCCGACUCUCUGCUCCAUUCCCACAGGGCAGAUGAUGUCCACCAUCCAUGAUGAAUCCUAUGGGAAGCCCACAAGCAGAGCAUGAGAGCAACGGCAAUAGCUAAGGCAGCAAAGUGGAAGUAUGAAAUGAACAAAAAACCGAGGACCCAGAUUCCGUACUAAAUCAUCCUUUUCUUUCCCCGCGUUUCCAUGGUGAUAAGCGUUGCUGCUUCUGCACUUCCCGGAGAAGCUGCUUCUGAUCAUAUGCACAUCUGGUAGCUGUCACACAUUUUUAAAAAGAAGCACACACACACCCUGAUGUAAUAUGGUGUCCAAGACACUGAGCUGUGCAUUAGGACAACUCUGGCUCAGUCAUAACUCUGUGGUGGUAGAUGGAGAAGGAGAUCUGGAGGAGCAUCACAUCUGGAGGACACCACAUCUGGAAGACACCAUGUUGGCUACCUGAUAAUGCAUGUUAUCAGGCUAGUCACAACCAGCCACCAUACCUGGGGUGAAAUGCCAUCUAAUUCUAGCCAUGUGUCUUAAUGUCAACCAUAGAGUAAAUAGGAAAGCUAUUUUCUGUGACAGGCAAUGGGAGGCAAUACUGGAUUCUCUGUGUCUAGUUAUUCUUCCAACAGAAAAACAGAAUAAAUAAUUCAUUCCAAGAGGGGAGUUGGAACCUGAUGAGCAGAAACAAAAAAUAAUGUCUUCAAAGGAUGGAAAGAAAGGAAAGUAUCUAUUUCCCAUACAUUUUUCAUUCAUCUUGUUGCUGCUGAGCUCAUAGGCAUGUUCAGCUAGUAUUCAGAGUAGCAUAGGGCCUCUGAUCCUGGAAGUAGCAGUAGGUAUCGUGAUGCUUUGCAGAGACUUGGGUGUUUGGCAUUAUCUUCCUCCAGGUUGGUCAGGGGUUCCUGACCUCAAGUCAUAAAAUUGCAGAGUUGGAAGGGACGCUGAGGACCAUCUAGUCAAAUCAAUUGGAAUGCAGAAAUCUCAUAACAGGUGGCCACCCAAUCUCUGCUUAAAAACCUCCAAGGAAGGAAAGUCCACAACCUCCCAAGGGAGUCUAUUCCACUGUCUAACAGUUCUUACAGUCAGAAAGUUCUUCUUGAUGAUUAGUUGGAAUCUCCUUUCUUGUAACUUGAAGCUAAUGCUUCAGGUCAUUCCCUUGGAGCAGGAGAAAACAAGCCUGGUCCAUCUUCCAUGUAACAGCCCUUUAGAUCUUUGGAGAUGGCUACCAUAUCUCCUCUCAGUCUCCUCUUAUCCAGGCUAAACAUACCCAACUCCCUCAACUGUUUCUUAUAAAGCUUGGCUUCUAGGCCCUUGAUCAUCUUGGUUGCUACCUCUCCUUGCUUGGGCCAUCAUAUCUUCAUGGUGUUGGCCAUCCCAAUGGAUCACAACAAGAUGAAGGCGUGUGUGAAAACCUCUGGCUUUUGUGUGGCUAGAAUGCAGAUAGGAGUGAUAUCUAUUGAUCCACCUGCUGUUGCCUUGGCUUUACCCACCAUUGGCAUAUGCUCUACCCCCAUGAAUGUUAUACACCAGAGAUGCAGUUGAAAAAAGUUCCCCUAUCCUAUCCUAGUCCAGCUUUCUGCACUGCAAUGGAUCAGAGUGUAGUGUUAUCUUUGGGGUGAAAGGGCAGGAGACCAGUGGCAUUCCACCACUGCACAAAGCCCAUUUUCAUUCAAGAUAGGAAUGAAUGGGGCCCUAGCAGUGGUAGUUUGGGGGUGCUACAACAAUGCUGUAGAAUGGAGUGUGAGAGGCGGGUGUGUGUGCAUGCCAAAUUGUAGCAUCACCCAAAGUCCACCACUAGGCCCUAGAACCAACCUGCUCAUUCAUUAAAAAACAGGCAAGCUGCUAUGUUAAGCAACAAAUGUAGAUAUCUUCCUGCUACCCACCUUCUGUGUCAGCUUGCAACCCAUCUCAGCUGGAUCCAGGUUGCUACAAGGGGGAGUCUCUAGGAUGGAUGACAUCAGGUUCCAUGCAACAUUGCUUUUGUGGCUUCUGGCAGAUCUCCCUGUGACACCGAACGGCAGGCUCUGAGCAGAAGCAGACAAUGCUCAAGAGGCAUCCUCAGCGGUGAAGGUUUGCUGGGAAAUUUGCCGCACUUCAAGGCAGAAGCACACUGACCCCAUUAUGCCAGUCUCAUCUUCAAGCACAUUUGUUACAGCAGAGUGCAGCUUAUUUAUAUAUAAAUAUAGAGAGGGAGGGAAAUGAAAACUCCACGUCCUGCAUUAUGGAAGGCAAUGCUCAGGGAUGCAAACUGAGUAGCCUUAUUGAAGCUGAGUUUGAAGAAAUGGUCAAGGAUGAUGUAGAAAACUGAUCAAUAGUUUUCAUUAAAUGACUUUGCAACAUGUUCUCUCUCCCGUCCCGCCCCCCAGUCAUGUGGGUGCUCUCAUUGGCUGGUACACUCAGGAACAAUGCCAAUGGUAAGGUGAGCAUCUCCCAAAGCCAUCAUUAUCCCACAAGAGAUGCUGAGGCAAUUUGCCAGAGCAGAGUGAGAUACCUGCAGAGCACCCUGAUUUAUUUGGCUACAGUUCAGGGUUAUGGGCAUUUGAAUUAAGGAGGCUGAAGUGUGCUGGACUACAGCCAGUUGCUUGAAUGGAAGAAUUCUUUUGAUCCAGCAAAGGAUGAGAAAGUACCAAAGGGGCAGAAGAGACUGUAAAGGCAAAUGACAAUACAGUGGUACCUCGGGUUACAUACGCUUCAGGUUACAGACUCUGCUAACCCAGAAAUAGUGCUUCAGGUUAAGAACUUUGCUUCAGGAUAAGAACAGAAAUCGUGCUCCGGUGGCGCGGCAGCAGCAGGAGGCCCCAUUAGCUAAAGUGGUGCUUCAGGUUAAGAACAGUUUCAGGUUAAGAACAGACCUCCGGAACGAAUUAAGUACUUAACCCGAGGCACCACUGUAAAUGAAGAUCAUGUGCCCUGCCCCCACCUCCACCAAUGGGAGAGUCCCAUUUGUGGAGUUUGAUUCAUGGGAUCCCAGAAUCCAAGCCACAGUUACUAUCAAUGUUUUUGUUAGUGGAAUGCUUCUCCUACUGCAUUCCUGAGAAAAUUGGUUCACUCUUAGGUGUAUCAGUGGUUUCUCAGCGUGAAGAUCCAUGAUCAUCAACGUUUCCUAAAACACAUUUUCUCUCUUCUUCACAUAAGAGCAUUGCAAGGGUUGUCAGUGAUUUAAGUCAGUUUUUGAUAUCUGUAGUUCCUUCCACCCCUUUCCAAGCCUUGGUAUUGAUAAUUAUGAUGUGAAAUAUGUUCAUUAAUUCUCCCAUCAGGAAAAUAGAUACUGUCUAAUGACCAAGUUAGGAACACUGCAGCUAUACAAGGGAACAGGAAGGAAAUAAUUAAAGAGGUAGAAGCUUUUUAAAAAAGAAGACGCAAGGAGGAAGCUACUAAUUAAAGGGACAGUGUUAGAAGGUUUUUGCUGAACAGGAGAGACUUCUAACUAAACAUGUAGUAGAAUCUAACAAACAGUUAUACCAGUUUUUCACAAGGAAUAUACAGUAGCACUACAUGAAAUGCUUCUAGCUGAUGGUACUCAGCAGUACUAAACAGCCCUAAGAUUGGAAGCAAUACAGGAUUCAAAGAACUGUUACAUUUGUUCUUUAUAUAUUCUUGAAAAUCUCUGGUAAAACAGCAGUCCUCCACGCUACAUGGCAAAGGGUUUUUGAAACUAAAGGGACUUUCAGAGGCAGCUUAUGAUAUGACACGAUGGAGUCUGCUGUUCCAAGCACAACCAAAAGGAAUCCUGCUGGGUAUUUUGAAGCGUUUAGGCAGCCUAAGGUCGUUAUUUGAAUCCUGGCCAAAAUCUUCAAUAUAAAUCCAGUGAUUCAUACAACCUUAAAUACCAUGUUUCUGCUUCUCUCAAACCUCCCAUUUGUGAGGCAAGAGGGAGUGUUGAAUGAAUGCUAAAUAGAAUGAAUGAAUGCUAAAUAGACGUUUCAGAGUUGCUGGAUUCAUCUGAAAUGCAUCAGGGAUUUUAUAGAUGUGGAAAAAUGUAAAAAAAGCACACAAUCAACUGUGUGUUGAUUGCUAAAACUGACUAUUAGAUUUUGAUAUUUCCCCUCUGCUGUUUUUCUAAACACACCAUCCAUUGCCUCAAAAGUGUUGAGCAUUUGAACUGCACCCAUAUAGAGUAGCUGGAUCUUUGGAGCUCAAAGUGCAGAGGGAAUGUUGUGUUCAGUACCAGCAACCCACUUCCCUUUUCUGCUGACAUUUCACUAUAUCAGAAGACGAGGUUGACAUUUAGGGGGCUGGGUGGUAUUUAUUUUAUGCUAAAUGCCAAGACUUCCAUUUUAGAUAGCCAAAAGCUAAGCCUGCCACUUUCAGGAGAUGUCUAUUCCCCUUACAGAGUUACAUUUCCCAGCAUUCCCUGGGAAGAGGGAUGGAUUGUUAAACCACUCUGGGAAUUGUAGCUCUGAGAGGGGAAUAAAGGUCUACCAAUGGCUAUUGGCCUAACAAACUGCAGUUCCCAGGACUCUCUGGGGAUAACCGUGACUAUUUAAAGUGGUAUGUUGGUACAGCAAUAAAACUGCUGGCACAUUUGUGAAGCUAAGCAGGACCUGGUAUGAUUUCAAAUUGGAUGGGAGACCACAUGUUGAGAUUCCUGCAUUGCAGGGGGUUGGACUAGAUGACCCUCAGGAUCCCUUCCAACUCUACAGUUCUAUGAUACUGAUAUAAAUAUAAGUGUCAGGUGGGACCUAGAUGUCUUACAAGGUCCCUUCCAAAUUUUAUGGGUGGGAUUCACCUGACCAGUCCCAUUAGUGGGCGUCCUGUGCAAGGACUUGUGCUUGGACAAUGGUGCUACCCCUCUCUUCCCCCUGCCCCACAAAUUGGCUCGGGGGUGUGUGUGUUGGGAGAAGCCCCCAGAACAGCCACACAUGGGAGGAAAGGGGAAUGGUUCCAUCUGGCAAACUGAAAUAUGUUUGUGGCAGCGCUACAUUUAAUUCUGUGCCACAACUGCCAAGCUGCAUACCUUAAGCCAGGGGCGCCCAAACUUUUUUCAAAGAGGGCCAGAUUUGAUGAGGACCAAAGUUGUUGAGCUUUUAAAAGGACUUUUUAAAAGAACAUAUACUGCCACAGGGCUGGAUUAAAUCGACCAGCGGGCCGGAUUAGGCCCCCAAAACGGACUUCGAACAUGCCUGCCUUAAGCCAACGCACCUGGAGACAUGGCUAGUACUAUGUUCUGUGCAGUGAAAAAGAAUGUAUGAAACUGCUGUGUUUCAAACAAAGAAAAGAGAGUAAAUGCUGACACCUAGAGGUCAGAUAAUGGGCUUUGUUUUGCAGAAGGCCAUUUAUAGGACUGUAUACAAAAUGAAUGCAGCCGUUUACAGAUGUGUCUGCUUCCAUGCACACAACUUCCUGCUCAGUUUACCUGUGCACUUAUAUUGCUUGUGUCUCUUGACACUAGAUUGUACCUCUCAAUUUACGUGUCAAGUUUAAAAGUGUGAACCAUCUCUACACACAUUCAGCUCUUUUGUUUUAUAAUAUUUUAUUGUGGUGUAGCUGCUUACUAUAUUUUUAUAUUCCUCUUGGCUUAAAUAAGGCACAUAGCAUAGCAUAAAUUACGACAACAAGUGUGGUCUGCCAUAAAACAUUGCAGUGUCAAGGACUCUGGUCUAGGAUGCUAGUCUAAUCCAUUUCCCCUUCGCAUUAUCCACUUUUGUCCUCUUAACUCUUAAUCAGCAUUUCGUGGUCACUGAGCAUGCUCAGUCCACAAUGGGCUUUUAUUUUGGGUCCCUCCCCCUUUUUCAUCAGUUUUGUUUGCAAAGGAGUUUUCCUGUUCAGAGGUGGUGCUAAAUAUACAACAGCACUCACUUCCGAACAUUGGAAAUGGAACAAACGGGACCUGAAACAAAAUAUGGCAUUGUCGAGUGCCCUUCUUCCUGGCUGGCUGGAACCAUAGGUGCCAACCCCCUGGGGGCCUGAGCACCCACAAAAUUCCCCAUGAAGGGGCUGGGCACCCACAAAUUUUGGUGCCAGGGCCAUGCACGCUGCAUGGCACCCAUGACUUCAGACACCAGCAGUCACAGGGCCAAGAUGGCAUCCCAUACCUUUUCCAGGAUACUCCAUUACAUUCCUCCUCCCCUGUGCUUUCCACCCCCCCUCCCUCUAACAUUGCCACUGGACAUGUUCUGGCCUUGCUGGGCUUUCCUGUAUACAAAUAAACCCUGCAAAAUACAAUUAUCAUUGCCAACAACAAACACAUCCAAAUUAAUGACAGCAUCCUAAAAAUGCCUUCUGAAAUUAUCUUCAUUGAUCUUUGAAAAGCACUAAGGGCAGGUCUCAAAAUUGCCACUCUGUUUGUGAAAAGGUACGGUUGGCUCCAGGAGUCCACAUAGGAAAACUUGACAAAAGUAGCUUCUCAUGAGAACAUAAGAACAGCCUGCUGGAUCAAGCAAUUGAUCCACCUAGUGUAGCAGCCUGUUCUCACUGUGGCCCAUCAGAUGUCUGGAGGAGACCCACCAACAAGACCUGAGCAACCCCCACCACCCCAGUUGUUUCUAGAAACUGGUACUUAUAAACACACUGCCUCCGACUGUCAUAGUCAUAAUGGUUACCAGCCAUUGACAGGGUUGUCCUCCUUGAAUUUGUCUAAACCUUUUUCAAAGCUAUCCCAGUUGCUGGCUAUCAUUGCCUCCCAUGGGAGCAAGUUCCUGCAUGAAGUGCUUUAUUUUAUCUGUUCUGACGCUUUCAACAUUCAGCUUCAUUGCAAGUCCAUGAGUUCCAGUGCUAUGAGACAGACAGAAAUAAUUCUUUGUCCUCUUUCUCCUUGCUGUGGACAAUUCUCUUCAGGCUACAGAUACCUGACAUAGAUAUGAGUGGGCAGAUAGGGAACACAACUUUUUUUGGACGGUCAUAACUUUUGUGGAAUGUUACUUGCAAGAUGACACAAAGGGGAGAAUAAUGGCAUUUACACUUUUAUGGAUGUAGUAAGGUUGGUUUUGCAUAUUUACCCCAAAGUAAGUCCCAGAGUACAAUCAGAUUGCAAACAUAGAUUGCCAUCUGAAUUGUGCUGUCUAAAUUUGGUACUAAUAUAGCAUUAAAUAUAGUACUAAAAUGUAUUGGAGGUGGAAACUAGACAGGACAGGCUCUAGAGCAGGUCAGACAAAAUUACGUUAUUUAUUAAGUGAUGGCCCCGGUAUGUAAGAUUGUGGAACUUUCAGUGGGGAAAUCUCCAAACUGGCCACCAGAUGGCAUGUGAAUAAUAUCAAGAGAGGGAACUGGAUAAAUCCCCUAAAAAGAAAUGUUAUGAUGAAGGAGACUGUUUACUUAACGCCUGCUGAAUAAAAACGGUUCCAAGUACAGACAAAACUUAAAUUGCACUGAAAUCAGUGGGACUUAGGAGUGUUUGGGCUAGGUCUCAACAUAUAUAUGGAGAAGGGAUUCAUCCACAUAUCCUGUUUGCUUGUUGUAGUGCAGGUGGCUGCUGUGACUAGGUGGAUCUUUGACCUGAUCCAGCAGAACCAGUGAUGUUCCUAGGAGUUGAUGAGGUUGGCACCCACCAGGGGUGGGAAUGCAAAAAUUUCGCCACUCCACUCCACUGGCCUGUCUCAGUGUGGCUAGAAGACUGCCUGGGUACUCCGCAAGCAACUUGUCCACUGCUCUGUGUGGCUGGGCAAGACACGGCGGCUCCUUUGGGCACCCGAGUGGAAGAAUCCAGUGUCUGGCACAGGCCUUCACAGCAGCCCUGUGGGGAUCCCUCCCCAGUUGGCCAGCAGUGCCCAGUCGGGCUCAGAGAGAAGAAGGAUGGAGAGAGUGGAGUUGCAGGAGAAGCAAAAAGGAAGGGAGGGAGGAUGCAGAAAGGAAAGCAGGGAGCAGAGUGAGGUACGAAGGGAGGUUGACCAAUGGACCGAUGGAGGGGAGGUGGAUCACAGCAGACCCGAUAUAGAUGGCCACAGAGAAAGUCACUGGUGGAGUGCGAAAGGCAGCGAAAGGCAAACUCUUUGAGUUUUGGUCCAUAUUCUCUCUCAGCUUCACUCUUUGCCAAGGGUGCAAGAGACAGGAGGGCACCACUACAUCUCCUUUGCAAGAGUGCAAGGGAUUCUAGGUAUGUCUCUGACCAGGACUGUUCCUUUGCGACAACACUGAGGAGGCUGUGGCUUCAAUGUGAUUUCUGGGCCAAAGUCCUUUGUCUCUUGAGGGUGAUGGCAGCAUGACUUCCUCAAGCCUGGAAGGUGGUAGCUAAAUGGGCCUACCAUUGAAGGUUGCCCGGGGUUGUUGUUGGGUAGAAUUCUGUCCUUCUGCUCUGAAUCCAUGGCACUGUUCCCUAAAUGGGAGGAGGUUUACCAAGGGAUCAUGAGGACUCCCAUGCAGCCUUACAUGACUUGGGAACAAACAUGGGGAACAAAGGAAGCUGCAUUAUAUCUCUUUCAGACCAAUGGUCCAUCUGGCUCAGUAGGGUCUACUCUGGCUGUAGUAGACCAGUGGUAGACCACUGUCAAUUUGAAACAGUGUAGAAAUAAAUAAUGAAUCAUUGGUUGGCAGUUCAAGUGUAUUUGUGACUAUUUUGUUGUUCAGCUGUUGCUGGGACCCUUUGGGAAAAGGAAUCAAUGAUUGAUCAGCAGCAGUACUUAUGGAGAACGGGGUUGUGAGUCAGGUGGUCUUAAUGUUCUUGCUGAGAUUCCCAAGGGAUCCCUUCUCACUCUCAAGCAGCAGCAUCUGCAGUCAACACUCCACAGCCUCUGAACUCCUCUCUCCAAUCUCUCUUCUCUUUCUGCCCCUGGGAAGUGACAGAAGGGGAGGCUAAUGCUGUGCUUAGAGGAGCAUGCACGGAAAAAGAAAUCCACAGAGUGAUUUCUAAGCCAAUUUCUCAUGCACCAGGGCCAGCUCUGUGACUUAGAAAUGGUUCUCUUAAUUGCAUAGCUGACACCAGGGCACAUCAUGGCCUUGACACCAGCAUGCAACAGGGGUGUGAGAAAUAUAAUCUAUCAAGAGCAGAAAUUAGAGAAAACAUGGCAUUGGCUGUUGUUUGCCACUGUGCCAUUUGCAAACCCUGUUUCGUUUACCAGUGAGAAUAGAAUCAUAGAAUCAUAGAGUUGGAAGAGACCACAAGGGCCAUCGAGUCCAACCCCCUGCCAAGUCGGAAUUAAAAUUCCCCCUGCCUUAAUAUUGCUCCAGGGCAUGUAGAUUUGGGUUGUAGAACUUGUUUUCAGCACUCAGCUCAGGAACCUGGGAAAUUAAAAAAAGAAGAUCACCUCUAGGCAUGUGCAAAGUGUUUUUAUUCACCACUGAAUAAUGACAACCUGCCUCCAUUAGGUCUUGGGAUAGGGUUUAGCUUUUCAGUGUGUAUGUUUUAAGAAAAUAGGAAUCCAGGGAAACCAGUGUGGUUUAAUAGUUGAGGGAUGAUUCAGGACUGCGAAGUAUCAGGUUCAAAUCCUGCCUCAGCUAAGAAACUCACUGGGUGAUCUUGGGCCAGUAACUAUCUCUCAGCCUAACCUACCUCACAGAAUGUUGUAAGGUCAAAUUGGGAGCAAUGAGAACCAAUCAGUUCCUUGGAUGAACGUUGGGACAUAAAUAAAUAACUCGGUCCAACAAAUUCUCCUGCCUAACCUGCCUGUUGUUCUCCUCAUCUUUCUCCAACAUGCAUCCCCAAAGGAGCUUUCAAAGGGUGCUUUGGCAGGCAGAGCCAAUCCAGUGCUCAGGCUGGUACACCAACAUGGCCUCAAACUCACCUGGACCCAUCUCCAUCCAGGUAAGCGACAGAAGCGGCACUGGUGUUGGGAGGGUUAUUCUUGUUAGAUUUCUGUUAUGCCACUGUGCAUUUUUUGGAGUCACAAGACUCUGUUCACAUUCCAGACUGUUGGAAGUCUCACGGGAGAUGGGAGACAGAUGUUGAUGUUACUGGUUUCCUGUUUCUUUGUUCCCAGUUGUUCACUGUCUCUCACAGAGAGCAGACGCGUAUUCUUUUCUCUCCUGCGUAGAUAGAAAUAAACGUAGCAUUGUAGCACCUAUUUCCUGGCUCCUUCUGCUGUUUGGAUACUCUCCGUAAUGGGGGAGUGUGCCUGAAGCCUCAUCAAAGGCUUAGGUCGUUAAUUACCGUCGGAGCAGAGCCUCGAUGGAUUCCAAAGUAUGGAGGAGGAGAGCCAUUACAGCUCGGUCGUACGGAAGCUCUGACAAUUCUACCCUACCACAUGGGCUGCUACUGCAUAAGGAGUUGCAUAAACAGGGUGCCACCAUGAAGCUGGCCCUGUCUUAUGUUGCUCCCUUACGUUCUUACUACUUUCCCAGAGACAAUAGGCCUCUGAAUUCUAUUGCUGGGAAUUCUAAGUAUGGAAAGAGCGCUGUUGCACCCAGAUCCUGCUGGUGGGUGUUCCACAGGCAUCUUGCAUGGCAAGGCCUCCCUUGCUGAUGAAAGAACUUCUUGUAAAGGUCAAGACAUUUCCUUCCAAUUACUUAAAUGUUGUUUGCCGCUAAAUUCGUAACAUGGCACCAUCUAGGGAAAUGCAUAAAUACUCUAGACUCUUCUGACAUAUAUACCAUGAGUAAUGGUGACAUUUCGUAACAAUGCUAUCGCACGAGGAGCACAAAUAGUUUCUGUGCUUCACUUUGUGUCUUUGUUGAAAGCUGUAGGACUGGAUCAUGUCACCUAAGAUUUUCUGUGCAUGGUUGUCAGCCUUGCGAAGGAUGUCAUUUGCAUGUUGAAGUGAUACAUCUGCUACCUGCACGAAUUUGGGAUAUUCCCCAAUGUUUGAGAUGCGCCUAAUUGGAUUAUGUUGCUGAAGGCUGGAAUCAACAACAUCACACGGCAAGAAUUCCAAAUUGGUGACAGGCAAGCAAAGUGUCCCCCAGGGCUGAUCUGCUACAGGUGCCUGCCGAGUCAAAAAUAGAUGGGACUCAUUUUAAUUGGGAAAGACACAUGUACAUUCAUUCCACUUGCCCCCUUUACUUGGCAGAAGGCACAGAAGCAAUGCAUGGGGGGAAAGACCAGAUCCUUGAUUCAUUGUAUUAAGAAAGAAAAACUUGAAGCGGGUUGCCACUGCCUUUCUCUGGAGGAUUCUACCCACCCACGAGAUUGGUAAGUCAGUAGUCUGAGUGAGGAACUGUCCAAAUGCUGCUUUUCCAAAUGCUGUUUAGACUCCAACUCCCAUCAGCCCCAGCCAUGAUGAGAUUCAGCAUGAUGAGAAUCCAACAGUGUCCGGAGGGUGAUAGGUCCCCCAUUCAUGUGUCAGGGACUGGCACAAUACUGACAUGUGUUCAUUGGGGGAAGGGUUUGGAGUUUGACUUGGCAGAGUGGGAUGUAUUGGUCUGUAGGGACCUGUACCAGCCAGGAGGUAAAAAUCAGAGCUGGAAGAAGAGGAGGAAGAGGCAGAAGAGGCAGGUCAGGCAAGUGAAGGGUUGGGGGCUUUCCCACCUUCCCCUGCACCACUGUCUCCCUGAACCAGUAGAGGACUGAAGUGGGAAGAGCAGGAGCAGCUUCCACACAGGCAUAGUCUCUGGCUACAUGUGAGCAGCCUAGCAGGGGAAGGUAUAUAAAUUGGAGGAGGGGGAGUAGUCCCCAGUUGUUGCAAGUGCUUCAUUGAUUGCACACCUGGAAAUAGUAGGUGCUAGAUUGGUUUGUGUAGGUAUCCAGAGCUGUGGAAGCGACUGGCACUGCCUUGUGCCACCCUGCUCUGCCCCAGCUCCAUUCAGGGAUGGCGUUGGGAGAGCAGCUCCACAACUCUGCCCCAGCACACUGGCUGCUAUUGCAUCUGUGUGUGACCAUGUCAGGAUGCUGUCAGCGACUCCCGGCUGGUUGCCCAGGAAAGUAUAAAGACAAGGAGAAGUUUCUUACUGUCCUUUUCUUUAUUUCAAACUUUACAGAGAGAGGCUAUAGAACCCAGCCUCUUGGAUAAUGGUGUUGUCCCGAGUGAAUCUCUACCCACCCCUUCUCUCCCACUUCUUCAUUCACCGUCAUCAUCACCUCCUCUAUGGGUGCCGCUAAAUGCCCUCUGUCUUUGAACUCUUUGCUCUACUACUUUUAAGGCUUCCCACGUUCUGGGAGAUGGUGGGUCUGGAAUGCUUUCUAAUGACAACAUGUCAGCCGGGUGUUGCACUGGCUCUCCCAUUAUUUCCAACUUUCCCCCCAUCUGCCUCUGAGCUGUGACCUCCCUCAACCUCCUGUUGUAAAUCUAUACUGUCUUCUUCUUCCUCCUCCUCCCUCCUGGAAGGGUGUCACAGUCCGGUUCACAGGCAGUCGAAGUCCUGGCUGGGGACAUCGGGACUGGGGCAAGAUGGCGGGCUGGCAGCAGGAACGGGAGUCCAGAAGCCAAGAGUCCAAGGGUCAGAGAACCGGGAGUCAAGAAGCCAAGGGUCUGAGGGUCAGGAAGCAAGGAGUCACAAAGUCAGGGGUCCGAGGAUCAAGGAGCAAGGAGUCACGAAGUCAGGGGUCUGAGGAUCAAGGAGUCAAGGAGCCAAACGCAACAAGGCAGGGAGUGUGUUGCUGUGGCAAAGAGUCGAAGGGAAAUGCUGACCUUAUAUCCCUUCCCGGCUCUUGCCACCAGGUGCUGUGAAUUACCAAUUGGCCUCACCUGUGUGGCCGCGCCUUGCCUCUUCAGAACAAACUUAGGAAGGCCCCAGUCCUGCAAAGUCCUACUGGUCACAGGGCCUGGCUCCUGCACGCACUCCUGACAAAGGGUCAGGAUGGGGAGGCGGUCUCCACCAUUCCUUCUCCUCUACCCAGUUCCUGACAGAACCAGGGUUAAGUGAACCUUGGUGGUUAUGCUCUGUUUCCACAGCUGGAGGCAGUACUGUUUCUGAAUACUGGAAAUUAUAGGAGGAGUGUGUGUGCUCUUAUGCUUGGAUCCUGCUUGUGGGAUUCCCACAGUCAUCUGGUUGACCACCGUAAGAACAGGAUGCUGGACUAGAUAGGCCAUUGGCCUGAUCCAGCAGCCUCUGCUUAUGCUCUUAUGAAUGGCUUUGGCUUCUGUGUUGCCCUCCGCUCAGCUCUUUGAAGUGACUUUUCCUCUGUAUUCUCCAGUUUGAAUUUUCCUCCAAUUAAAGCCUACUGCCUCAUUAUCGUGACUGUCUUUAUUCAUUACCAUCCCAAAGUAGCUAUAAUUAUCUCUGGGUCUUUUAUGUGUGUGUUUUUGCUCUUCCCUGGACCACAACAUUACAUCAGCCUCUCUCACUAACCUCUGGCUAUAGUUCUUCUAACCAUUUGGAAAGUUGGCUUAGCAGAACGGCCUACAGUCUCUUUCCUCCAUUGAAAAAUCAUGCUAUAAAAAUAUUUUUUUUCAUUCCUUUCAGUUUCUAUUACUACAUGGACCCUGGAAAAACUCAUUCCCAGGCUGAAUAUUUAUGUAUGGGUACAUAUGCCAUUAUGUUGUGUUAGAAUAUGAUAAGGGGAAGCUAGGAAACUUACACAGUGGAUAGAUUACUUUUGGUCUCUAGUGAGCAUUUCAAGGAGAUUCUGUGACAAUAUGCAUUCCUAUUCACCCUGGUUUGCUUGUGUGGUCUUUAUACACCUUCCCAUUAAUCAUUCCUCUACUCCACUCUAAUCAGUUUAUUUCCUCAUCACUUUCCUAACUGCAGAAAGGUUAUUAUUAUUAUUAUUAUUAUUAUAUUUUAAAAAGUAGUUUUUCUUGUAUUAGGGUAACUGAUUGCUUAAUAAUAAUAAUAAUAAGCCACUCUGGGCGGCUUCCAACAAAAUAUUAAAAUAUAGUAAUGCAUCAAACAUUAAAAGCUUCCCUAAACAGGGCUGUCUUCAGAUGUCUUCUAAAAGUCUGGUAGUUGUUGUUCUCUUUGAUAUCUGGUGGGAGGGCGUUCCACAGGGUGGGUGCCACUACUGAGAAGGCCCUCUACCUGGUUCCCUGUAACUAGGCUUCUCACAAUGAGGGAACUGCCAGAAGGCCCUCGGUGCUGGACCUCAGUGUCCGGGUAGAACAAUUGGGGUGGAGAUGCUCCUUCAGAUAUACUGGACCGACUUUAACCUAAAGAAAUGUUCUAUGACAACACUAUCUCUCUGCUUGGAGACCUUUUUCUGAGUGAACAGUUUCCUCUACUUCAUCAAGAGUUUCUAAGCGUCUUUAAAAGUUCAAAUCCCCAUUCAGCCAUGAAGCUCACCGGGAGACCUUGGGCCCGUCACAGUCUCUCAGCCUUACCCACCUCACAGGGGUAUCAUGAUAAUGAAAUGGGGUGGAAGAGAACCACGUAUGCCACCUUGAGCUCCUUGGAGGAAAUGUGGGCUACAAAUGUAAUAAAUUAAUGAAUUAAAUGACUGUACAAACCUAAAAUUACAGUGCGUUGAUUAAACUCUCCUGCAAAAGACUGGCAGUCUGGAGGUGACCUUAGAUACGCACUGGAGAGAGAGUGGAAAUCUGCAAAAAGAACAUGCCACAGAUUCUACUGUUGCAGAACUCUCAAUGCUUAGAAUUCCAGUGCUGAAAGUCAGUUUUCUGUGUAUUUUUUUUGCUGUUGUAAACUUGGUAAUAAGCGAUUGAAAUGCUCAACUGGAGCUCCAUAAUGUUUAUCUGGUGCUCUAUACAAGGGGUGCCAACUUGCCCUCAGGAUUUUGGGUGCCCACUGCCGCAACGCGGAUGUGUGAUGUCCCAUGCACAUACCUGUACAUAGGGUGUGUGACGCCACACACACUAUGUGCAGGCAUGUGUAUUGGACGUUGCACAUCCACAUGGCAGCGUCUGGUGGCAGCGGUUCCUCUUCCUCCUCUUUGCAGCCAGUGAGGCACCCUUUUCCGUGGGCAAGGGCUCGGACUUGGAGGCAAAGAGACCCUGCCUCAGUUUCCAAGGCCCCACCCCCUGGAAAAGGGUGCCUCACUGGCUGGCUGUGAAGGGCGGAGCUAAACUGCUUGUCUCUCAGAAGCAGCACUGCUGCCACCUGCUGGCUUUUAUCAUUGACUUUGUGGGUGCCUGGCCCCCCACAAUUACAGUGGUACCUCUGGUUACAGACGCUUCAGGUUACAAACGCUUCAGGUUACAGAUUCUGCUAACCCAGAAAUGCUACCUCAGGUUAAGAACUUUGCUUCAGGAUGAGAACAGAAAUCAAGUGGCGGUGGUGCAGCAGCAGCAGCAGCAGGAGGCCCCAUUAGCUAAAGUGGUACCUCAGGUUAAGAACAGUUUCAGGUUAAGAACAGACCUCCAGAAUGAAUUAAAUUCUUAACCCAAGGUACCACUGUAUAUUAUUGUGGGUGCCCUAGCACCCAUGGCCCCCUGGAGCUGGCUCUGUACCCUCUCUACUCCAGAGGCAGAACGGUCAUCCUUGUCACGCCUAUUAGGUAUCUGGGGUAUCUGUGCUGGAAAAGAAUAUUGAAUAAAAUGAACCUUUGAUUUGAUGCAGAAGGCAAUUCAGAAGGUCCUGGGUUUGCUUUCACCAGUGCAUAGUUCGCAGAAAAGUGUGGCUCUAACACACACACACACACGUGAGAAAUAUUAGAAAGCAUCAGAAACAUAACGGCAAACAGGUUUCUUUCUUGCAUGUUUUGAAAGUAGUAAGCUAUUUCAAUAGGCAAAGAUCAACUUAAUUAAGUAGACCAUAGAAGGGAAAGUAGAAAUGGGAAUGCCUUUUGAUUAAAAACAUAAACACUGUAGACAAUGCAGUUUCCAUCUAUAGACAGGCUGAGCAAAUAUAAAAUUGGAUUCUUUGUUGCAGCUAUUGAUGGCAUUUGCAUCUUAUGCAAACCUCAUCUUGCUGGCUUGAUACUGAAUGCAUCACAUGAAACCUGUAUUGUUUAAUGUGUUCUAUUGAACUGUUAGCUCAUCAGUAUCUAGACAUUCAAUUGGAGAAGUUAACAAAGACUCUGUUUUGUUUUUUAAGAGAGAGAACAAGGCAGAAAAGAAAUGGGAAUUAGUUAAAGACCUACAUAACCCUUGAUAAUUAGUCUUGCAAAAUAGGGAGGGCAUUUCCUGCCUGAUUAAGCAAAGCAUAUCCCAACCACAUUUGGAUGACAUUGCUAAAUGCAACCUUUAAAUUGAAAUAGGAUUGUUACUUAUAUCUGAUCCAUAUGAGAUGAAAAAAUAAUCUAAUUUUGAGGGCAUAAUGGUUCGGUUACUUGCCUGUGAACAUUUCUUUUUAAAGUCCAGCUACAUCAGAUGUACACAACUUGUGACCCACCAAACUAAUCACAGUUCAUUGUCCAUGUAUGACAGCUCAUUCAAGAUGCUAUAAAUGUCCUGCUACUGAAACAACUGGGAGGGGUGUUUUGCUGCAUCUCUGCAUCCGUCAAUCGGCUUUCAUCAAUCAUUACAAUGAAGUGCUUUCAGAAUUCAUUGAAAAAUGGAAGAAAUAGACACCUUAUGGUUGCUUGUGCUGGAGUUCAGGGUGGAAAAAUUCUGGCCCGCUAGAUGUUGCUGGACUCCAGUUCCCAUGAGCCCCAGCCAAUGUGGCCAACAGCAAGGGAUGAUGGGACUUGUAGUUCAACAACAUCUGGAGGGCCAGUCCUGUUGUAUUUUAACAGCAUAGUCUUCUUACUUUUUGCCAUCCUGAAGAAAAUACUAUGAGUGACAGCAGCAUAGAAUGCUCUGAUAAAGUGCACAGCAUUUUCAUCAUCCCAAGAGAUGUUCCAUUCAUUCCCCUCUUUGUGACUAGCAUUAUUAAGGAUAAGACGAUGGGGAUUUGAUGCAUUUAUGUUUGGCUCAAGGAGAGCACAAUCCAUUUACAGGAGAAGUGGCUUUCUGCUCAGGAAGGAUUACUCCUCAAGGGAGCACUCCCUCCCAGUUGAGAACAGCUCAAAUGCACCUUGUUGUUUUCAGAGUGUGCUUUCAUGAAAGCGAGACCUUUGUAUCAACAACCAUCACCAGUCUGGGUAAGUGUGGUGUCUUCAAGGAACAUAGGGGUAAUAACAGUUUGAACUAAUGGAAACAUGCAACUUGUGUCCCGUGAAACCUGUCAUAAAGCACCAGCCAUAGACGAUGGCCAACUAGAGGCUCAUUUACCAUGCUUCUGCUCUCUGCAGAAGACAUUGAGGCUCUCAAUCUGUGGGUCAGGCCACAGCAUAUGGCAAGUGGGAUGUGUUGGUUCAGGUUCCACCAAGUUGGUAGUGAUGGCCAUCAACCUGGAUGACUUUAAAAGAUUAGAAAAAUUCAUGGGGAAUAAGGCAGAUGGUGACUACUGACUGCUAUGGUUAUGUUCUCCCUCCACUGCUGAUACCGCAAGAGGGGAGAGCAGCGUUAUACGGAGGUCUUGCGGAAACACCUAGGCAGGGCUGGUCAGAGGGAUGGGGGAAUGAGAUGUGACUCUGGAAACCAGUCAUGAGGAGCGGUUCAGUGGCUUGGGAGCUGCUGAUCUGGACACUGGGGAGGGGCUGAGCAGGUAGUCAGGAGAAAGCUCCACUGCAGGAAUAGCAAAUAUCCCAAGCAAAUAUCCAAGUGGGAGAGGUGUCUGAAUUGGUUACUGUCUCACCUCUUACUGGUGAAGCAGACAUACCUCUGAGUCUAGGCCAGACAAGGAGCCACCACCAUCAAGGAUACAACACCAGGUGCAGUGGCAUAAGCCUACUUGCAGGAGGGGCCAUCUCUUUACCCAGUUCUGUGGCUCUGAUGGGACCUGCACAAAUGAUUCUGUCUAUCCCACUCUUCAAAAGGGGAGUUCCAGGGUGUGUAUCAAGGGUUGGAGCAACAUCUUGGCUUAUGUCUAGCCAUGUACCCUAGAGCUCUGUAUUAGUUUGUUAAGUGUGCACCUUGUAAAAUAAUUUAUGUUUUGGCUGCAUAGUGAAUUUUGGAAUAAAACCUUUGGUAAUAGCUGAGCUGAGAGUCCAUGUACUGCAUGCACAAGUGGGAACCAGGAUACUGUUCUGGCUCUUUUGCUUAUAAACAAUACAGGGUUAUGACAAAUGUAUUUUGUACGUUUGGCAUGGAGUGGGGAAUAAAUGCAGUACUGAAAAUGUAACUAUGGUUAAGGUCACAAAACACUACUAGUAAUGCUGUUGGACAUCCCAUCAAAUAAUUAAUACAGAAAUACAGAACAAGCCAAAUGGAUUUCCCCUUGAUGGGGUACUACUGAAUCACACUGCUCCAAGGCAUGUUAAUAGCAAUAAUGUAAGUGGGUUUAAAAGGGGACUUGACAAGUUCAUGGGGGAUAAUAAUGGAUUCAUUUGUGUAGAUAAAUAUUCAACUAUUACAAAAACACCACAAGUCUCCAGUACCCAUUCCUGACAAUGAAAAUGACUUUAUUAAAGGCUGUCCCGUAAGAUUUCCACUACUCAGACAAGUUGUAAUCACGAAAUACAAUGUGUUUAUUUAUUUAACAAAAGUUAUAUACUGCAUGAUUGAAAAGUGACAUGGUAGAAGUUUAUAAAAUUAUGCAUGCUGUCAGGGCCAGCCCAAUACAUUUUGGCUCCCGUGGCAAACCACAAAAUGGCACCCUCUCCCUGCUAGGGAAGAAGGGUCACGUGAAGAUCUAUAUUGGGAACAAAGGAUGAGUAAAUAUUUACAUGGCAAUCUGCUGCCCCUGUGGAUUCUGCCACUUGAGGCGGUCACCACAAUUUGUCUCAUGACAUGAAGAAAGUGGAUAGAGAAAAGUUUCUGUCUCUAUUAACACCAGAACUUGUGGACAUCCAAUGUUGCAAGAUUUGGAAGAGAUAAAAGAAAGUACUUCUUCAUUCAGGAACUUGUUCCCACACAGAGGCAGUGAUGGGUACAGACCUGGAUGGUUUUAAAAGAGAAAGAAAUCCAUGAAGAAUAAGGCUACCAGUGGCCACUAGCUAGGACAGCAAUGCUUUGGCUCCAUGGUUGGAAGCUGUAUUCUUCUGAAUACCAGCUGCUGGAAGCUGCAAGAGGGGAGAGUGCUCUUGUGGGAAUUAGAUGGCGUUUUGGCUUGUUCCAGCAUGAACCAGUUUUACAGACCAAGCUGGUGAAUUGCAUGAGAAUCACCUGUCUAGCAAAUGAACCAUACUGAAAAUUCAGGGUAUAAGCUAUAGCAAAAGCAGGUCUCUAUGGCAACCAUCUUUUUGGUAUUUUGCCAUUGGCCUGUUGCCGUCUCUCCCCCCCCCACCAGCUGAUCAAAUAAUGUACAAAAUGUUGAUCAGAGGCUUUGAUCUCCUAUCUCAUAUACAGCAGAACUUGCACAGCUUCACAUUCUUGCUACACUCCCACUAACGGUGCAAGAAAGUUUAAUUAUCAUCCUUGCACUUCCCCACUUUAGUUGAUGACAAUAAUUUAUCAGUCGUUGCCGAGUUUGAUGCUCUGGCAGCUCAGCCAAAUCAGAAGGUACUGUAAGAACCACGCUAAGUAUCACUGCCAAGCAAAGAGACGAAAUCAUAUGGAUUCUGUCAUCUGUGAUAAAUAGAUGCAUGCUAGAGAAUAUGGUGGUGGGGGGAAGACACAUCUCUCUGUGGGGGAUAUGUUAAAUUUUCAGGUUUACUACCCCUAACACUUUAGAGUAAAAUGGAAGAGCUGGUGAAGGUGGUGGUGGUGGUGGAAGAGAACUGGUGAAGCACAGGAUUCCAUAAUAUGUCAGAUAACGUGGGAAUUGGAAUGAGAAGUUUGAACAAGAUAAAAGGAAAUACUAAACAGAAGGAGAAACAGUGUUACAGCAGCAGCAGAGAGAGAGAGAGACAGGAGCCAGUUCCAAGGACAUCCUUUAUAUAGACUCCCACUCUUAAAUCUGUUGCAUUCCACCAGUAUGCCGGGUUUCAUUCUGCUAUCCAUAGUUAACAGGGAAUCCUGUCAUUCUAGAUGGAUGCAAUGGUUAUGAUAGCAAAGCGACUGGCAGGGACUAGUGGAGGAAGGGACAAGGCAUGCAAAAUGAUUGCUACUUGAGGGAGUGGGAGAGGAAUAGAGGGAAUGGGAGAGGAACAGAGCUACUUGAGGGAGUGGGAGAUGAAUAGAAAAGGAGUAAUAAAGAUAAAUGUAGAGUCCUGCUUGGGUCAGGCCAAAUGCAUUUCUAGUCCAGUAUGCUAACAAUGGCCAACCUGAUGCCUAUAGAAAGAUCACAAGCGGGAUACGAGAGCCUUUCUCACUGUUGUGCAAGAGGCAUUCAUAAGCAUGGAAGUAGUCUGUGACCAGUAGCCUUUAAUUUGCCUUAUUGUCUAUGGAUUUGCCCAGUCUACUUUUAAAUCUAUCCAAGAUGGUGGCCACCAGUAGGUUUUGUGGUAGCAAAUUCCAUAAGUUCACAGAAUUCCAAAUAUUGCCUUUGGUCUGACUUGAAUUCACCGUUCAGCUUUGCUGAUCUAGUAUUAGAUUCAGGUAGGUAGCCAUGUUGGUCUGAUGCAGUUGAAAUAUAUUUAAAAAAUUGUCCAGUAGCAUCUUAGAGACCAACUAAGUUUGUUCUUAGUAUAAGCUUUCGUGUGCAUGCACACUUCUUCAGAUACCAGUAUUGUGAUCUAGUAUUGUGAGAGCUGGAGAAAACUCUGUAUCCACCUGCUUUACACCAUGCAUAAUUUUAUAGUCCGUUUCUUCCCGCUUACUCUUUAUUAUAAUAUUUUCAUUUGGGUGUAUUAGAUUUAAAAGUUUAUAUGCAGGCACAAACACACAUACACACACAGAGAGAAAAACAAUGGGGGCUGGCUCAACACAUUUUGCACACACAGAAACUUCAGCACUGGUGAGCAGACAGCAACCUUCAUUAUACCUAAUGCAGGAGGCUAGCUAUGUGCAUCACUACUGUGUGUUGUCCUCCAGCAUUUUGCCACUACACUGUGCCCAUCGGCAACCACUACCUGAGGCAGCUGGCUCAUUUUGCCUUGGAAAACUGGUCUGGUGGGAGAUCAAAAGAGUCAUUAGAACUGUACAGUUUGCAAGCCCACAGUGAAGCUAGCUUGUAGAAAAAUAAUAUCAAGCAGUUCCCAGAAUGACAUAGGAGUUUCAGGAACUCUGGAUUAAGCUAAGGAAACCCAUUAUUUAAAGUUUAAUGACCCAGAGGAGCCUAGCUAAUGCUUCAUAUCCCAGAUCAAAACGUAGAGACAUCUCAGUAGAAGAGUUAGGAAGCCAUAUUUCUCUUUCUCAAGGCAACCCUGUCCACCUCUGUGAUCCCGGUGUUCCUGCCACAUGGCACAAAACGACAAACGUUGUGGACAGAAGGAGGAAAAUAGGAACAGAUGCUCUCACUUCUCUUCCAGCUUCAGAGAAAAAACAAGAGUCAAUCUCCCUCUACCAUUUUUAUAAUUGAAGGGUAUUUCACUGCAGAUAAUCAGCACUUAUGCUGACAUUUGGCAAAAUGAUGCUUCCAGAAGUAUUAUUUUUCUACUUGUAAGAUUGAAAUGAAACAAAAAUAAAACUGGUAGUGCAGAGUUCGAAUCCACAGACACCCAGUUGGAGAUAAGAAGUAGGGGUAAUGUAUGCAAACUCCUUCUGAUGUUACCACAGCAUGUGAGCGGCAUCCGUAAGCACAGUGUGUAGUCUGCCACAUUUCACAAACAAAACAGGGAUACAUUUGUAAAGGUCCUAUAUUAUAUCAGGGAUCACUCCCUAGGGAUGAACAAAUCUGUCUACUUAAAUUUCUCAUUUCUCCCAUCACCCACCAGCAUUUUAGUUCAAAUUUCUCCCAAUAAGCAUGCAUAGAAAAGCUCCAGGUAACCAUUCAAUGCAGUGCUUUAUUGAGUCCCAGAGCUGACUGUACUGCAAACUAAUUGGCCAUUUCACUCAGAAAUUAGGACACAAUCCCAAUGGGCCGAGGUUCAGCUUUCCAUAAUAUUUGCUUCCUAGGUAUUUAUCUUGUUAAGCAAACCUCAGAUAAUUUAAGAAUCAAAGCACAGGAUAACGAGUUUCACUUUCUCCUACUGAAGUUUUGACAGUUACUAUCAAUCAAACUGGCUACAUUAAUUAAUUAAAAUGAGACAGCUGUCACUGUCCUGUCAAAGAAACCACCAGUGCUUUGGGUUUAUGUCGCAAAUGGAAUGUUCAGAUUCAUUUCUUCCUGUAUGCAAAACUGGCACACAACCAACUCACACUGUUUUUUAGUCCUAGGUUUUUCAAAGUAUUAUGCUGUUUCCUGUCCUCACCAGUGGAAAUUCCUUGAGAGAAUGUUUCCAUACUUUGUUGAGGCUUUGUCCUUCAUUGUCUACUCCCCUGGCUCUCCGCUACUUUAUCCUGUUCUAGACAUGGGUGCAGGUAUUUCUGGACCUCUGCCUUUAAAGAAAAUUGCCCUACCAGAAGCAUGCAAUGUUUGCCAUGUUUCGCAAUGGGCAAAAUGAAGGCUUGUGCUUUUGUGGGUUGAGGAGAGGACAGCAUCUAUUCCUAUCUGGUUUUACCCCCUUUAACAAUGGAUAUAGAGGUCUUGUGCAAAACUGAGAUCCUGGGCAAGACCAAUUAUAAUUAUAAUUAUAAUUAUAAUUAUAAUUAUAAUUAUUAUAAUUAUUAUAAGAUUCCAGUAUAUUGUAUGAUCCAGCCCUGUUUAGGGAAGGUUUUAAUGUUUGAUAUUUUAUUGUGUUCUGAAUAUUCUAUUAGGAUCUGCCCAGAGUGGUUGGGGAAACCCGCCCAUCUGGCUGGGUAUAAAUAAAUUAUUAUUAUUAGUAGUAGUAGUAGUAGUAGUAAGAUUGUGAAGAAACUGGGUCCUCUAAACUAGGUUGUUAAAAUUUGGAUGCACAGUGCUGUCAGCAUGUAGCAACUGGUGGCAAUAGACACACUUAUAUUGUUGGGGUUGUCAGGGAAAAUUGCCUAAACUAUGCUCACUUGAAGAGCAAAUGGAAGCAGGGAUGUGCUGAUAGUGACUACUAACCCAAACNNNNNNNNNNNNNNNNNNNNNNNNNNNNNNNNNNNNNNNNNNNNNNNNNNNNNNNNNNNNNNNNNNNNNNNNNNNNNNNNNNNNNNNNNNNNNNNNNNNNUUGUAAAUAUAUUUCUCUCAUGCCAGGGAGAAGACCAGCUGAAUACUCUGGCAGCUGUUCAAGGGCCCCACUGCUAUAAAUAGCAGUAUUUCAGGGUUGUAAAAGUAUUUCAGGGUUGUAAAAGGAAAUUAGAGCCAGAGAGCAAAAGGUCACACUGACCAGAAUACAAUCAAGCUGCAAAAACACAAUUAAGAGCUGGUAAAUAGUGAAAUUUAUUGUUUAACAGAAAACUCGAGCCAUAAGGUUAAAGGUUAAAUGGUCGAGGUGCUUUUAGAAACAGCUGCUGGUUAGGGAAAAAGGCUUCUCUCCAAACUGUUUUGAAGCUUCAGAGAAUUUAUAGAACUAAGAGAACUUAGCUUUUACUAAAUUCCUUUAAUUUGAAAAGGCCUUUCCUUCUAAAAAUCUAUCUAUGUUAUGUAUGAAAUAUAUUGGCUUAAAUGUAAUUAUGCAAAGGAUUUAGAAAGUAAGAAAUGUUAGAUUCUUAUGUUAGAUUCCUAUUAUGGUGGGUGAGAAGGUGAACUCAAGAUCUCUUUAAGAUAAAAAAAAAUUUCCUGGAGGCGGCGCGAAACGGCAAUGGCGGUCCUCUUCGGUCUCUGAAGAGGGGCUCCGCAGAAAAGGGUCGUCCGCUGCGGCACAGCGGUGACCCAUUAAGAAAAACCACGGGCAGAGUGAGCCCGUGGCCGUGGGACUCGGCGGGCACCAGGAGCGACCCCAAAAACGAAGAAGGAACCCCGUAAGGGGCUCCGGAAACGUGGAAGGGGGAGCGGUGCUGUGAGUUCAUCGCUCUUUCUGCGGGAGCGAAGCCGCGCGGCUGCUGCUGAUGAGCGCCGACCUUUCUUCUUGGAACAUCAGGCUGUAAACUACCUACUCGUGAGUAAGGAUCAAUCAUUUUGGAACUAAAAGUGUUAAAUUUGGCUGAAAGCGGGAGACGAUAAACAGGAAGUCCGUCUUCCGGCAGUGCUUUAAAGAUCAAAGGCAAAGAUUUUAACAAGCGGGAAGCAGCUUUAAAAGAUUAUAAAUUUGGGACUAUCGUGUUGAUAGAAUUGGCUUUUAAAAAGAAGGAGAAAAGAUUUUUAUUUCUAAGUGUUUUGGACUUUAAAUGGGACUUUCCUCCCCUUUAUGGAUUAUAAAGAAUUAAGAACCAAACCUCGGACUGACAGGGAAAAAAGAGAGCUGUCAUUGCGGAAACUGUAUCCAAAAUAGAGACUGUUACAGUUGAGUGAUACUGGCAAGAUACAAUUAAAUAAACUGUUACUGGCACCUUUUAUCUGAGACUUUGUGGCAGCUUGGGAAGUGCUCUGUAAGCUAAAAAAGUUUAUGAAGGACUUUUGGUAAAUUAGACUGUUUUGGGGCUGCAGGGACUUUAAUGGCGGAUAAAGUUCUUUCCUUUCUAUGAACUACAGUAAUACUCCCCCUAGUGGAGUUCUGGAAUUACAAGUGCCUGGGAACAAAUUUUAUUUGGACUAUCUGCUGCUCUGUUAUUUACACUUUGGAACUGUCCUUCCCAUGGGACAAUAUACAGCUUGACCUUGACUCAUAGACAGGUGUGGAAUGAGUGGCCAACCGAAAACAAGAUCUGCUAAAACGAAAGCAAGACAAGCCCAACUUGUGCAAACAACUUUGACUACUCAGUCACGUAGAUCAUCUGUCCCAGCUGUUUUGGGAGUACAAGAAAAGGAAACUGCACAGCCUGCAUCAGAGGAUAUGGCAGAGGGAGGAUCAGAUACCUUCUUAAAACAAAUGCUAGAACAAUUUGCAAUAUUGAACAAGAAGGUGGAUGACCAAUCGGCAAAAAUAGAUCAAGCCACAUCCUCUAUUACUAAAUUGUCUGACCAAGUUGCACAACAUACACAAGUUAUUGGGAAUCUCAAGGAAGCAACUGUGGAAAAUCGGAGACUGGCUGAAGCAGCCAAUGAAAAAGCAGAACAAGCAAAUCAAAAAGUUGAGGCUAUAAAAGGGGAGGUAAGGCCACUACACAAGCACAUUAGUGAUCAGCAGGCUUACCUGUCUAUGGUGGAAUUGAGAAACCGGGAAAACAAUCUGAGAUUAAGAGCUAUCCCAGAGCUUGAACAGGAAGAUUUAAUUGGUUAUCUGACAGCAGAAUUUUCCAAGUUCUGGGGUAUAGAAGAGGACAAAGAUUUCAAGAUCACAACUGCGUUCAGAUUAGGAAGAGUCGUGAGGAGGGACAAGCCCAGAGACUGUUUGAUUAUUUUGAGAUCCAAGCAGGAGAGAGAUAAAAUACUAGGCCUCCACUUUAAGAAAUCACUUGAUAUCCAAGGCAAAAGAGCAGAAUUUUAUAGAGAUAUUCCUAAACAACUUUUGGAUCUCAGAGCCACAUAUACAGACCUAGCAAGACUACUGAGAGGAAACGCGAUUCCAUAUAGGUGGGAGUUUCCCAAGGUUUAUCUUUUAAUUUUAAAGGAAAGAAAAUUAAGAUUAAAACAUCAGAAGAUAACCAGAAGUUCCUGCACGACCACGGAGAAGACCUUCAGAAGGGAGCAGCAGCCUCUUGGCCACCGCCACUGCCUGGAAAAGCACCGAUACCUACACCCUCGGGGCCAGAAGAAAAGGAAGACACCCCACUAUAGGAACAACAGAUUGAUUCAGAAUGUCUCUGCAGCUGUACAGUUGGAAUAUAAAUGGCGGGAACUCCCGGAAAAAAGACGAAGGAUUUUUCAUAUUUUGAAAAAGAACAAUUGGAUAUUGUUUGCUUGCAGGAAACGCAUGUGACUAGGCUCCAUAGGAAAGUGUUAAUCAACAAAAGACUAGGCCAAGAAUUUAUUUCAUCAGACAAAGUCAAGAAAAGAGGCGUAGUGAUUUAUGCAAAGGAGAACCUGUCACCGAAAUUUCUGUUUAAAGAUGAGCAAGGAAGAAUUUUGGCAAUUGAGAUACAAACACAAGGAGAAAAGUUUUUGAUUUUAGGAAUAUAUGCACCAAAUGAGGGGAAAUCGGAAUUUUACAAGAAGCUGCAUGAGAUAAUGCUGGACUAUCUGGACUAUACCAACAUCAUAAUGAUGGGCGAUAUGAAUGGGGUGGUUUCUACUCACAUGGAUAAGUCACAAAAUCAAAAUUUAACUAAAGACGGCAGACUACCUAAAACCUUCUUUGAACUAACUGAUAACAUGGACUUGAUUGAUAUUUGGAGGACAAGGAACCCCUUAGGUAAAGAAGGAACAUUCUUUUCUGAGGCCCACCUAUCAUGGACAAGAAUCGACCAAAUAUGGACAACUAGAGGACUGGCACCUAAGAUCAGAAAAGUGGAAAUCUGUCCAAAGACUUGCUCCGACCAUAAUGCUUUGAAAGUGGAAUUGAGACUUACUCCAACCGGUUCUUUCAGAUGGAAAAUGAAUGACACCCUACUAAGAGAUCAGGAGAUUGUGAAGAAGGCCCACAAAACUUUAAAGGACUAUUUUGAAAUCAAUUUGAACACUUCGGGGGAAAAGAGAUCCAGGUGGGACGCCAGUAAAGCUGUAAUGAGGGGGUUUCUGAGGCAACAGAACACAAUCAAGAAAAACUUUGGAAUGGGAAAAAGAUAGGAUAUUAGAGAAGAUAAGAGAAGGAGAGAAAAAUUGAGAUUAAAACCAAAAUCAAAAGAGGUUUUAAGAGAAAUCAAAUUCCACCAAGCUCAAUAUGCGAAAUUGAUAAAUCAAGAAGUGGAAUGGAAAAUCAAACAAAUGAAACAAAGAUCAUUUGAAUCGGCAAAUAAAUGUGGAAAACUGCUAGCAUGGCAGUUGAAAAAGAGACAAAAAUUGAACUUUGUCACUAAUCUAGAGGUGGAAGGGAGAAACAUUCAGAAACCAGAAGAAAUUAGAAAGUGUUUCCAGAAAUAUUUCAAAAACUUUAUACACAAGGGCCUCAGGAAGUGUCUGAGAUAGAUCAAUUUUUAAAAGUUAACGGUCUAUCCAAACUAUCUCAGGAGAAGAGGACAAUCUUAAAUAAUAGAAUAACACGACAGGAAAUAGAGGGUGCCAUUCAGAAUAUGCAACUAGGCAAAUCUCCAGGCCCAGAUGGACUUACCUCCAAGUACUAUAAGACACUAAAAGACUAUUUGAUACAACCACUAAUGGAGGUCUGUAACCAGAUUAUGGAGGGGAGGAGGGCACCGGAAACGUGGAAAGAAGCUUUCAUCACAUUGAUUCCUAAAUUGGAAUCUGAAAAGACUCAGCUUAAGAACUACCGUCCCAUCUCACUCCUAAAUGUGGAUUACAAAAUUUUUGCUGAUAUUUUGGCGAGCAGACUUAAAAAAUACUUAACGAAGUAAUUCAUAAGGACCAGGCAGGCUGUCUCGCCGGGAGACAUCUUUUAGAUAAUACCAGGAACAUUAUUGAUAUUUUGGAACUUUUACAAACUAAUAUCAAUACGAAAGCUGUGUUAAUUUUCAUCGAUGCGGAGAAGGCCUUUGAUAAUAUUUCUUGGAUAUUUAUGAAGAGAAACCUGGAAGGGAUGGGAGUGGGACGGGGUUUGAAAAUGGAAUAGAAGCAAUUUAUUCUGAGCAAAAAGCUAAACUGAUAGUGAACAAUGUGGUGACAGAUGAGUUCAAAAUUGAAAAAGGGACACGACAAGGGUGCCCCCUAUCCCCUCUUUUAUUUAUUUCAGUCCUGGAGGUGUUACUGAACAUGAUUAGGAAGGACCGGUUGAUACAAGGAAUACAGGUCGGAGCGAAACAAUAUAAAUUGAAAGCUUUUGCAGAUGAUUUGGUUUUAACAUUACAGGAGCCAGAAUCUAGUACAAAAAGAGUAUUAGAAUUGAUUCAUGAGUUUGGUCGGGUGGCGGGAUUUAAGUUGAAUAAGCAAAAAACUAAGGUUUUGGGGAAAAACUUGACACCCUCAGAAAUAGAUGGGUUUCAGAAGGAAACAGAACUAAGUGUGGUAAAAAAAGUAAAAUACCUAGGGGUUCACUUGUCAGCGAAAAAUUUGAAUCUAUUUAAAGACAACUAUGAAAAAUGUUGGCUGGAAAUCAAAAAGGAUUUGGAAAUCUGGUCAAGAUUGAAACUUUCCUUGUUGGGUCGAAUUGCAGCUAUAAAAAUGAAUGUAUUGCCGAAAAUGUUAUUUUUGUUUCAAACCCUACAGAUUGUGGACAGAGUGGAAUGUUUUGGAAAGUGGCAGAAGGAUAUAUCCAAGUUUGUUUGGCAGGGCAAAAAGCCCCGGAUAAAGUUUAAAAUACUAACUGAUUUGAAAGAAAGAGGGGGGUUUGCCCUGCCGGACUUGAGAUUAUAUUAUGAAGCUGCGGCCUUCUGCUGGAUGAAAGAUUGGUUACUUCUUGAGAACACUGAUGUUCUAGAUCUGGAAGGGUUUGAUAAUGCUUUUGGUUGGCAUGCAUAUUUGUGGUACGACAAGGUAAAGGUUCAUAAAAUGUUCAAAAAUCAUAUUGUUAGAAAAUCAAUAUUUAUGGUCUGGACAAAAUACAAGGACUUAUUAGAGGGUAAGACUCCGAGGUGGCUUUCACCAGCAGAGGCCAAGGCCCGGAAAAACCUAAUAUGGAGGUUGGUUGGCUGAAAUAUGGGGAAAUUAUAGAAAAAGUAGGAGAAACUUGGAGGCUGCAGAGUUAUGAAAAAUUAAAGAAUAAGGUGCAAAAUUGGCUUCACUAUGCUCAAAUUCAAGAGGUUUUUAAGUUGGACAAAAGAACAGGUUUCCAGGUGGAAAAAUCGAAACUAGAGACAGAAUUGUUGGAACCAAAGACCAAGGUACUUUCGAGAAUGUAUAUCUUGCUGCUUAAAUGGAACACUCAGGAUGAGACAGUCAAAUCAGCCAUGAUAAAAUGGGCUCAGGACAUUGGGUACAACAUUAUGUUUGAAGACUGGGAAAGGUUAUGGACCACUGGUAUGAAAUUCACGGCAUGUAAUGCCUUGAAAGAGAAUAUUAUGAAAAUGAUAUACAGGUGGUACAUGACCCCAGUCAAGCUUGCUAAGAUAUAUCAUUUGUCUGAUAAUAAAUGUUGGAAAUGUAAGGAGGCUGAAGGGACAUUCUUUCACCUCUGGUGGACUUGCCCAAAAGUGAAGGCCUUCUGGGAAAUGAUCUAUAAUGAGUUAAAAAAGUGUUUAAGUACACUUUUCCCAAGAAACCAGAGGCCUUCCUACUGGGCAUUGUCGGUCAGAAGGUGUUAAAGAAGGAUAGAACCUUUUUAUGUAUGCAACUACAGCAGCAAGAAUUCUUAUCGCAAAAUACUGGAAGACUCAAGAUUUACCCACACUGGAAGAGUGGCAGACGCAAUUGAUGGGCUACAUGGAAUUGGCCGAGAUGACUGCCAGGAUCCGAGAUUUGGAGGAAGAAGCAAUGGAGGAGGAUUGGAAAAAAUUUAAAGAUUAUUUACAAAAAUUUUAUAAGUUAUAUGAAUGUUAAGAAUUCGCAUGAUUAGGGAAAUUCAGCUCCAGCAAUAAGAUUAAGGUAUGGGAAACUAAGCUAUAUUAAUGAAAGGACUAACGUUUAAAAGAACAUUAUAUAUAUUAUUAGUGUAAAUUGACAAUAAGCAUUUUAAACGUAAAUCACAAGUAUUUGAAAGAACAAAAGAAUGCACGAAAUAAGGUUAUAAUUUGCUGAAAAAUUUUAUUGUAAAGAACGCAAGGUGAGGGGGACGGGGGGAAGUCCGGUUGGUUAUGGAAAAAUGCUUUGAAAAGAUGAUUUUCUUCUUUUUCUUUCUCUUUUCUGUUAUUUCUUUGUAUAUCUGACCUUGUAUUUCUAUCUGGAAAAAUGC